RNAcentral lists this long non-coding RNA (234 nucleotides) under Drosophila guanche. Lineage: Eukaryota; Metazoa; Arthropoda; Insecta; Diptera; Drosophilidae. The record is from RNAcentral.
AUUUGUAAUAAUGGGCAUUACUGUCGGAUGGGACAGUAAGCAUUGCAAGUGGUAGAUAUUUUAAAAUGGAAUAUUUUCAAAAUAAUGUUGUCAUUAUAACGCACCUCUUGAUUGGUCCUAUGUUUGAUGGUAAGGACGAUUUUGGGUUGUUCGUUAAGGAGAUUUCAACAAGCCAGGAUUGCUGCAAGUGACAAAAAGUUAAAUGAUAUUCGCGGCAGUCCGUAAGGAGUUCAG